UGGCGGCAUGCCUAACACAUGCAAGUCGAACGGGGGUAGCGAUACCCUAGUGGCGGACGGGUGAGGAAUGCGUAGGAAUCUACCCACGAGAGGGGGACAACCUGGGGAAACUCAGGCUAAUACCGCAUACGCUCGUAAGAGGAAAGCGGGGGAUCUUCGGACCUCGCGCUGGUGGAAGAGCCUACGUCCGAUUAGCUGGUUGGUGAGGUAAAGGCUCACCAAGGCGACGAUCGGUAGCGGGUCUGAGAGGACGGCCCGCCACACUGGGACUGAGACACGGCCCAGACUCCUACGGGAGGCAGCAGUGGGGAAUAUUGGACAAUGGGCGCAAGCCUGAUCCAGCAAUGCCGCGUGGGUGAAGACGGCCUGCGGGUUGUAAAGCCCUUUAGGCGGGGAGGAACGACGGGACGCGAAUACCGUUUCGAAGUGACGUUACCCGCAGAAUAAGCACCGGCUAACUCCGUGCCAGCAGCCGCGGUAAUACGGAGGGUGCGAGCGUUAAUCGGAAUUACUGGGCGUAAAGCG
RNAcentral lists this ribosomal RNA (525 nucleotides) under uncultured bacterium. RNAcentral's name for it is "bacterial SSU rRNA". It matches the Rfam family "Bacterial small subunit ribosomal RNA", at positions 37 to 567 of the family's 1533-position model. The record is from RNAcentral.